UGGGGAAUAUUGCACAAUGGGCGCAAGCCUGAUGCAGCCAUGCCGCGUGUAUGAAGAAGGCCUUCGGGUUGUAAAGUACUUUCAGUCGGGAGGAAGGUGGUAAGGUUAAUAACCUUGGCAAUUGACGUUACCGACAGAAGAAGCACCGGCUAACUCCGUGCCAGCAGCCGCGGUAAUACGGAGGGUGCAAGCGUUAAUCGGAAUUACUGGGCGUAAAGCGCACGCAGGCGGUUGAUUGAGUCAGAUGUGAAAUCCCCGGGCUCAACCUGGGAACUGCAUCUGAUACUGGCAAGCUUGAGUCUCGAGAGGGGGGUAGAAUUCCAGGUGUAGCGGUGAAAUGCGUAGAGAUCUGGAGGAAUACCGGUGGCGAAGGCGGCCCCCUGGACAAAGACUGACGCUCAGGUGCGAAAGCGUGGGGAGCAAACAGG
This 428-nucleotide ribosomal RNA is filed under the name Chloroflexota bacterium. RNAcentral describes it as "Chloroflexi bacterium partial 16S ribosomal RNA". It matches the Rfam family "Bacterial small subunit ribosomal RNA", at positions 355 to 776 of the family's 1533-position model. The record is from RNAcentral. Lineage: Bacteria; Bacillati; Chloroflexota.